GACGAACGCUGGCGGCAUGCCUAAUACAUGCAAGUCGAGCGAACAGAUGAAGUGCUUGCACUUCUGACGUUAGCGGCGAACGGGUGAGUAACACGUAAGGAAUCUACCUAUAAGCGGGGGAUAACAUUCGGAAACGGGUGCUAAUACUGCAUAAUAUCUUCUUCCGCAUGGAAGGAGAUUGAAAGACGGCUCUGCUGUCACUUAUAGAUGACCUUGCGGUGCAUUAGUUAGUUGGUGGGGUAACGGCCUACCAAGACGAUGAUGCAUAGCCGACCUGAGAGGGUGAUCGGCCACAUUGGGACUGAGACACGGCCCAAACUCCUACGGGAGGCAGCAGUAGGGAAUCUUCCGCAAUGGGCGAAAGCCUGACGGAGCAAUGCCGCGUGAGUGAAGAAGGCCUUCGGGUCGUAAAACUCUGUUAUAAGAGAAGAACAAAUUGUAGAGUAACUGCUACAGUCUUGACGGUGUCUUAUCAGAAAGCCACGGCUAACUACGUGCCAGCCGCCGCGGUAA
This 513-nucleotide ribosomal RNA is filed under the name uncultured bacterium. RNAcentral's name for it is "partial 16S ribosomal RNA". It matches the Rfam family "Bacterial small subunit ribosomal RNA", at positions 28 to 523 of the family's 1533-position model. The record is from RNAcentral.